RNAcentral lists this ribosomal RNA (1532 nucleotides) under Bordetella pertussis. RNAcentral describes it as "bacterial SSU rRNA". It matches the Rfam family "Bacterial small subunit ribosomal RNA". The record is from RNAcentral. Lineage: Bacteria; Pseudomonadati; Pseudomonadota; Betaproteobacteria; Burkholderiales; Alcaligenaceae.
AGAUUGAACUGAAGAGUUUGAUCCUGGCUCAGAUUGAACGCUGGCGGGAUGCUUUACACAUGCAAGUCGGACGGCAGCACGGGCUUCGGCCUGGUGGCGAGUGGCGAACGGGUGAGUAAUGUAUCGGAACGUGCCCAGUAGCGGGGGAUAACUACGCGAAAGCGUGGCUAAUACCGCAUACGCCCUACGGGGGAAAGCGGGGGACCUUCGGGCCUCGCACGGAGCGGCCGAUAUCGGAUUAGCUAGUUGGUGGGGUAACGGCCUACCAAGGCGACGAUCCGUAGCUGGUUUGAGAGGACGACCAGCCACACUGGGACUGAGACACGGCCCAGACUCCUACGGGAGGCAGCAGUGGGGAAUUUUGGACAAUGGGGGCAACCCUGAUCCAGCCAUCCCGCGUGUGCGAUGAAGGCCUUCGGGUUGUAAAGCACUUUUGGCAGGAAAGAAACGGCACGGGCUAAUAUCCUGUGCAACUGACGGUACCUGCAGAAUAAGCACCGGCUAACUACGUGCCAGCAGCCGCGGUAAUACGUAGGGUGCAAGCGUUAAUCGGAAUUACUGGGCGUAAAGCGUGCGCAGGCGGUUCGGAAAGAAAGAUGUGAAAUCCCAGGGCUUAACCUUGGAACUGCAUUUUUAACUACCGGGCUAGAGUGUGUCAGAGGGAGGUGGAAUUCCGCGUGUAGCAGUGAAAUGCGUAGAUAUGCGGAGGAACACCGAUGGCGAAGGCAGCCUCCUGGGAUAACACUGACGCUCAUGCACGAAAGUGUGGGGAGCAAACAGGAUUAGAUACCCUGGUAGUCCACGCCCUAAACGAUGUCAACUAGCUGUUGGGGCCUUCGGGCCUUGGUAGCGCAGCUAACGCGUGAAGUUGACCGCCUGGGGAGUACGGUCGCAAGAUUAAAACUCAAAGGAAUUGACGGGGACCCGCACAAGCGGUGGAUGAUGUGGAUUAAUUCGAUGCAACGCGAAAAACCUUACCUACCCUUGACAUGUCUGGAAUCCCGAAGAGAUUUGGGAGUGCUCGCAAGAGAACCGGAACACAGGUGCUGCAUGGCUGUCGUCAGCUCGUGUCGUGAGAUGUUGGGUUAAGUCCCGCAACGAGCGCAACCCUUGUCAUUAGUUGCUACGAAAGGGCACUCUAAUGAGACUGCCGGUGACAAACCGGAGGAAGGUGGGGAUGACGUCAAGUCCUCAUGGCCCUUAUGGGUAGGGCUUCACACGUCAUACAAUGGUCGGGACAGAGGGUUGCCAACCCGCGAGGGGGAGCCAAUCCCAGAAACCCGGUCGUAGUCCGGAUCGCAGUCUGCAACUCGACUGCGUGAAGUCGGAAUCGCUAGUAAUCGCGGAUCAGCAUGUCGCGGUGAAUACGUUCCCGGGUCUUGUACACACCGCCCGUCACACCAUGGGAGUGGGUUUUACCAGAAGUAGUUAGCCUAACCGCAAGGGGGGCGAUUACCACGGUAGGAUUCAUGACUGGGGUGAAGUCGUAACAAGGUAGCCGUAUCGGAAGGUGCGGCUGGAUCACCUCCUUU